CAAUAGCGUAUAUUAAAGUUGUUGCAGUUAAAAAGCUCGUAGUUGGAUUUCUGGUGGGAGCGAUCGGUCUGGCGCUUAGCGCGAGUACUUGCAUCGUCUCCGGCCAUCCUUGGGGAGAGUCUGUCUGGCAUUAGUUUGUCGGGCAGAGGAUCCUCAUCGUUUACUGUGAAAAAAUUAGAGUGUUCAAAGCAGGCUUAUGCCGUUGAAUAUAUUAGCAUGGAAUAAUAAGAUAGGACUUUGGUACUAUUUUGUUGGUUUGCGCACCAAAGUAAUGAUUAAUAGGGACAGUUGGGGGUAUUCGUAUUCCGUUGUCAGAGGUGAAAUUCUUGGAUUUACGGAAGACGAACUACUGCGAAAGCAUUUACCAAGGAUGUUUUCAUUAA
Molecule: ribosomal RNA, 383 nt
Filed under: uncultured eukaryote
Lineage: Eukaryota
Description: partial 18S ribosomal RNA
Rfam family: Eukaryotic small subunit ribosomal RNA
Source: RNAcentral